UUACAGUCGAUUCCAUAUGCCCUCCUCCCAUGACUAACUUUCCUUUUCCAUCCAGGAAGCAAUGUCCAGCUGAAGGAAUAGAAUAUGGGCAUCAGAGGCUCCUUGUCUAGACCAACUGUUUAUCCCAGGCACAGUCACCUGAUUUGGACACCUCCUCAACCCAUGGAAGCCCACUAUGGAAAAGAACUCCUCAAGAGGAGCAUGCGAUUUUGCAAAUAUUCAGUCCCUCUGGUAAGUGACUGCAUGGUGUACAAACUUGGUCUUUUUUAUUGUGGUGCUGGUUUAG
RNAcentral lists this long non-coding RNA (286 nucleotides) under Taeniopygia guttata (zebra finch). RNAcentral's name for it is "lncRNA (ENSTGUG00000022359.1)". Lineage: Eukaryota; Metazoa; Chordata; Aves; Passeriformes; Estrildidae. The record is from RNAcentral.